GGGGUUGUAGUUCAGUUUGGUUAGAACGCCUGCCUGUCACGCAGGAGGCCGCGAGUUCGAGUCUCGUCAACCCCGCCA
Molecule: transfer RNA, 78 nt
Filed under: Candidatus Zixiibacteriota bacterium
Lineage: Bacteria; Pseudomonadati; Candidatus Zixiibacteriota
Also listed under: 1 other name
Description: tRNA-Asp
Rfam family: tRNA
About the family: Transfer RNA (tRNA) molecules are approximately 80 nucleotides in length.
Source: RNAcentral